GUAAUCGCAGAUCAGCAUGCUGCGGUGAAUACGUUCCCGGGUCUUGUACACACCGCCCGUCACACCAUGGGAGUCGGAAAUGCCCGAAGCCAGUGACCCAACUGCAAAGAGGGAGCUGUCGAAGGCAGGUCUGAUAACUGAGGUGAAGUCGUAACAAGGUAGC
Molecule: ribosomal RNA, 163 nt
Filed under: uncultured bacterium
Lineage: Bacteria
Description: partial 16S ribosomal RNA
Rfam family: Bacterial small subunit ribosomal RNA
Source: RNAcentral